RNAcentral lists this ribosomal RNA (206 nucleotides) under uncultured bacterium. RNAcentral's name for it is "partial 16S ribosomal RNA". It matches the Rfam family "Bacterial small subunit ribosomal RNA", at positions 1289 to 1500 of the family's 1533-position model. The record is from RNAcentral.
CAGUUCGGAUUGGAGUCUGCAACCCGACUCCAUGAAGCUGGAUUCGCUAGUAAUCGCGCAUCAGCCACGGCGCGGUGAAUACGUUCCCGGGCCCUUGUACACACCGCCCCGUCAAGCCAUGGAAGCCGGGGGUGCCUGAAGUGCGCUGCCGCGAGGAGCGCCCUAGGGUAAAACCGGUGACUGGGGCUAAGUCGUAACAAGGUAGC